GUGCACAGAGCCUGGCGAGCAUAUUCCAGGCUCGAGGAGGGUUCCCAAGGCAGGGAGAAGUUGGCGGGUGGGCAGGGCUGUGCUUUGAGGGCUGACGUUGGACGUGGGGUUCACUGGGCCCAAAUCCUAUGGCACUUUACAGGCCUCAGUGAGGAACUUUGUUCCUAGGGCAGCGCGGAGCCACCAAAGGCUUUGAGUGGGAAAGGGGCCUGAUGUGAAUAGUGACGUUGAAAGCUCUGUCUGGCUUCGGGGCCACGGGAUUGAAUGGGGUCUGGAGGGCAGAUCAGCAGAGAGGGUGGGGGUGGCUCAGAAUUACAGUCACCUGUCCCCUGCCCAACACCCGGCCAGGCCAGGAGGUGGCCUGUGAGUGACCACCCCCGGGGAGGUGGACGGGUCUCUAAUGUUUCCCUCACUCCCCACCAGGUCCCAUGUGUGACCUGCUCUGGUCAGAUCCACAGCCGCAGGUGAGUCUAGGGUGGGGUGCAGGGCCGGCGGGUGUGGGCUGUGGGCAGCAGGUGGAGGCAGACAGUCACUCUGAACCCCUCUCUCUCCCAUCUGCCCACCCUCAGAACGGGCGCUCGGUCAGCAAGCGGGGCGUGAGCUGUCAGUUUGGGCCUGACGUCACCAAGGCCUUCUUGGAAGAGAACAACCUGGACUAUAUCAUCCGCAGCCACGAGGUCAAGGCCGAGGGCUACGAGGUGGCUCACGGAGGCCGCUGUGUCACCGUCUUCUCUGCCCCCAACUACUGCGACCAGAUGGGGAACAAAGCCUCCUAUAUCCAUCUCCAGGGCUCUGACCUACGGCCUCAGUUCCACCAGUUCACAGCAGUGCCUCAUCCCAACGUCAAGCCCAUGGCCUACGCCAACACGCUGCUGCAGCUGGGAAUGAUGUGAGGAGGCGGGCGGGGCGGCCUGCACCCCAGGGACCCUCCACUCCCACCGGACCUGGGCCCUGGGCCCGGGGCAGAGCAGGCCCCGCCCCAGGGCAACGUUGGACCCCCUUUUACUUUGUAAAGUUUGUAUUUAUUCCCCUUUAGGUUUGCAGAGGGGGUAGGGGCAGAGUCAGGGGCUGGCCAGAGGGUCUGCUCCCUGGACAGAGAGGAAGGAGGUGGAGCAGCUGGGGCUGGGGGCACAGCCCUGGCAUUCUGUAGGGAGGCC
This 1157-nucleotide small RNA is filed under the name Pongo abelii (Sumatran orangutan). Its description in RNAcentral is "retained intron". Lineage: Eukaryota; Metazoa; Chordata; Mammalia; Primates; Hominidae. The record is from RNAcentral.